This 67-nucleotide transfer RNA is filed under the name Potamopyrgus kaitunuparaoa. RNAcentral's name for it is "tRNA-Thr". It matches the Rfam family "tRNA". From Rfam's summary of the family: Transfer RNA (tRNA) molecules are approximately 80 nucleotides in length. Their secondary structure includes four short double-helical elements and three loops (D, anti-codon, and T loops). The record is from RNAcentral. Lineage: Eukaryota; Metazoa; Mollusca; Gastropoda; Littorinimorpha; Tateidae.
GCAACAAUAGCUUAGUAUAUAAAGCACUGGUCUUGUAAGCCAAAGACGAAAAAGUUUUCUUGUUGCU